AUAGAGUCACCAGGUGAUGAAUGCAAUGGAGCUCAGAUUCUCUCAUAUUUGCCCUUCUGCUCUAUACUAAUUGGUGGAUGAGAAGACCAUCUAGCAUGCAUGUCGUUCUUUGUUUUCUCGGUAUCUCCGACUAAUAAGUAAUGUAUAUCAUCUAGAAAAGUACUAGCAAAGGUGCCCGCGCGAUGCUGCGGGUUUUAAAAC
Molecule: long non-coding RNA, 201 nt
Filed under: Prunus dulcis (almond)
Lineage: Eukaryota; Viridiplantae; Streptophyta; Magnoliopsida; Rosales; Rosaceae
Description: sRNA ncRNA
Source: RNAcentral